RNAcentral lists this ribosomal RNA (520 nucleotides) under uncultured Glomeromycotina. RNAcentral's name for it is "SSU rRNA". It matches the Rfam family "Eukaryotic small subunit ribosomal RNA", at positions 569 to 1092 of the family's 1831-position model. The record is from RNAcentral. Lineage: Eukaryota; Fungi; Glomeromycota.
AGCAGCCGCGGUAAUUCCAGCUCCAAUAGCGUAUAUUAAAGUUGUUGCAGUUAGAAAGCUCGUAGUUGAAUUUCGGGGUCAGUAGGUUGGUCGUGCCACGGGUAUGUACUGGUCUCACUGAUUCCUCCUUCCUGAUGAACCGUAAUGCCAUUAAUUUGGUGUUGCGGGGAAACUGGACUGUUACUUUGAAAAAAUUAGAGUGUUUAAAGCAGGCUAACGCUUGAAUACAUUAGCAUGGAAUAAUGAAAUAGGACGUUGAUCUUAUUUUGUUGGUUUCUAGGAUUGACGUAAUGAUUAAUAGGGAUAGUUGGGGGCAUUAGUAUUCAAUUGUCAGAGGUGAAAUUCUUGGAUUUAUUGAAGACUAACUACUGCGAAAGCAUUUGCCAAGGAUGUUUUCAUUAAUCAAGAACGAAAGUUAGGGGAUCGAAGACGAUCAGAUACCGUCGUAGUCUUAACCAUAAACUAUGCCGACUAGGGAUCGGAUGAUGUUAAUUUUUAAUGACUCAUUCGGCGCCUUACG